UUCUUAUGUGCAGCCAUCGUUGUUGUCAUAGAUAUGAAUGAGUAGAUAGGACACGCCCCUUUGAGCUGCGUGCUACAGCGAGGCUAAGCUAGUGGGGGAAAAGUUUCAGUGCAUUCCGUUGAUGUAGACGGCGUGAAAACGGAAACAACAAGUAUGCCGGCUGACUGUGCUGCAUACAGUUACACACUGCGUCGUACGAUUGAGACAAGGAAACUUGGAAUGACUUUUCAUAGGAGACUAUCAAGUACUCCGGCGCUUCCGUGAAAAUUAUGGCCGAUAUCGCGAGAACACGUGACGGGAUCAUCACGCGAGAAGGGAGUACCUGCAGGAAGUAACGCGGAAUUUGUCCGAUCAGCGUGCUCAUGGACAGUCAUUGGUUACUGCCAAGGUGUUCUACUUUGCUGUCCUUCUGCAAGUGUUCUGUCCAGCUGCACCUGUCUGAAGUCCAACUGCAUCAGUGACUACAGGUUAAAGGCAUCUUCUGGGAUGUUUCAUUUUACCGCUUUUUGGGAUUCCAGUUCCAAGAUUCCAGCUAAACCAGAUUUCCCUAGUUCCCUACUUUUUUGUGUCUUGCUGCAGCAAGUAUAGUUUGCUCUGUAUGUGGAGGUGUAAAGAAUGCAGUGUAUCUUUAUCUAGUAGAUACAAGCUACUAAAACAUAUUAGACUACAGCACCCGUCAUAGGCACCGCUACCCAUGCCUACACACCAACUGCCCAUGUACUUUUAAGACAUGGAAUGCUUUGUACAUUCAUUUAAGUAGAGUCCAUCCCAAAGAAAAUACUCAGGAGCUGUUGGAACUGUCGACAUUCAGUUGUCAUUUGUGUACUUGUGAUCUUUCGACAGAGAGGGAUUAUUUUACACACAUUGGCCUCAUCUGAAGAGUAAUGAAAGUGUUACUUGCAUGUUUGAGGGUUGCUGUUUUCAAACAAACAUAUAUGGAACAUUUCACUCUCACAAGAACAGAAAACACAACCCACAUACAUUGAAAGAUUUCAAGCCAGGAGUAGUUACAACCACUCAAGUUUCACAGGACUCACCUGAUGAUCCUGAGGAAGAUGCACAAAAUCAAGAUGACAGUGUUGUUGAAGCAGACGGUGGAUGUUCAAGUCAUGAUGACAAUGGGAUCGAUACCAGACGAGAAUGCAUUCUUAAGGGACUGUGUGUCUACCUUAACGAAGAUCCAGACAAGCUGGUGAAAGAAUACAAGGCGGAUGAUGAAAACACCGCGGCAGCCAUGGCAGAGACAGUCUAUGGCAUCUACAUCAUUCGACACAGCGGUGCAGAACCCAGUGAUGCCCCAGAGGAUGUGGGAAUCAUUCUGGAGGGGGUGACGGUACUCAGUUUCCCAGAGACUAUGGGUUGAGGAGGAAUUGGAAGUUUGUCAGCUUAGACCUGGUGUUAUUCCAUCAGUGUUAAACUUCCCGGUUCAUCUUGGAAGAGUACGUGCCAGAAAGACCAUGACCAAGCAGCCUUGAGAUCUUAGGCAGCGUCUCCCUGAGGUCCCUCUCUAUCUCCCCACACAUCCACCAACCACUGGAACACAUCUCCAAAGUUCUGCUGGGCCAGCUCAGCUUCCCCUCAGAAGAAGUGCCGCCACCUGCCAGAUGAAGGAGCCUUUUGAGAGGCAGCUGGCAUCGUGAUUGGACUGUACUUUGGUCUGUUCCAAUCCAGCUUCAGCUCCAGAGACGGCAGGCGGGACGAGUCAACGGAGGCCUGGUGGACGAAGACAUGAAGCUGAGUACAAACCAGAAAACAACAGAGGAGGAGUGCAGCAGACCAGGGCCAGAACAACCAGAGUAGCAUCAUAUGUCUCUUAGAAAACAUCAUAGUAGAGCCUUUGACCAAAGAACUACAGACUCUUCACAACCUGCUCAAACUCUUGGUACAGGACCUCACCACACGGGUCAAGAAGGUUUCUGUCUCAUUUCUACUCUGAAGCUCACCUUCUCCUGCUCAAACUGCUGACAAAUGUUUCUGCUGCUCUAAAGUCUGGUCUCCAGAACUUCCUAAAAACUCUCAAAGUCUCUUCUGCUGCAGGUUGCUUUGUAGAACUGUUGCAGAAAACCUCACUAAACCACAUGGAGGGGCCUCAAGAUAGUCGUCCAGAUGAAACCGUACAAAAACCAAACUAGUACAACCCAAACACUAAAGUCUCCUGCAGCCUACCAGAGAACCUCUGAGAACAGAGAAUCAGGACAGGAACUCUUACCUUCUGGACAACCAACCUUGGUUCACCAACAAGAAUACAGAAUGUGUCUGACCAAAAACCUCUGAAGACUCACUACAGCCAAGAUAAAGACACAACUCAGCUGUACCAAAUCCACUAAUCACUGCACACAUUAGUACCAUGUGCUAACUGUGGCUAAAGAACCACAUUUACCGAGACAACUAUCCAGUACAAAGCCCUAAAACACACCAAGAAACACAUUAAAGAUGAUUUUACUGCUGGAAGCUGCAAGCCAACGCCUAAAAAACAAGCUAAAGCAACAGAGCCAAACCCGGUUCAGUGGUGGAGAAGCAGAGGAAAUGUUUGUCUGCAGCUAAAUAAAGCAGGAAGACACUGAGCUGCUCAGGUGUUCCUGAUAACACCAAGCAGCCACCUGGACAGCCAAUAGGAACACAGCUUCCUGGAAGUCCAGAAGGCUGGCUUAGUGAAGGAAAUUUAGUUUAAAGUUGAAGCAGAAAGUUAACAAAGAAAGUUGAAAACCACCUUCUGAUCCCUGAAAUCUCUGAGUUUUCACACAAAGAACACCUGAACAUGUCAAACUGGUUCCAUAGUAGAACCAUCAUUGUAAAAACGUCAUAGUAUGGUGUGUUGCUCAAAAAACAUUAGGACCCGGCUGUCAGGGGACAAACAUGUAAGAAACAUGAGAACAGAGAGAAUCCAACCAGUAGGUCACAGUUUAUCAUCCCCCAGUCAUCUCCUGAAGUCCAUAUGGUGAGAGACAUCAGUAUCUGGUUGUUAAUUUACCAGAGGAUGCUUAUAAUCAUGCUGAUGUGGUCUGUACUCUACAGUAUUUUAGUGACUCAAUAAAUGCCUAAGUUGUUUUUUUUAAUGCUUUUCAGUUUUUAAUAAACAUUUAACAGCCUAUAUGUAAUCAAUAAAUGGCCUUUGCCUAACUUAAGAAAAAUUCACUUAGAACUCUGAUAUGUUAACAGUACUAAAUAAAUCAAUAAAUACAUGCAUACACACAAAAAUAAGUUAAUACAUUAACUGUGUUAAGAUUUAGAUUUUUAAAAAGUUGUUUAUGUUUUUGCAGAAUCCAGUAUUGCUCACUGGUUGGUCAUUACAUUUUGUUAGUUUGAUUUCACUGUUUAAAAUGAUGCCACCUCUUUUCAGACAGAACCUGUGAUAAUAAAACAUUACAAAAUGUUUAGUUCUGUGUUAAUAAAGCACUUAAAGCUUUAAGUAUGGCUAAAUGCUUUUUUCAAAAUUAAAUAUAUCACUCCUUAGGUGGUAGUGGCCCCAAGUUCAGUAAAGUUGGAAAGAUAUUCACAGAUUCACACUUCCAGCAUCAAUAACUCAUUAGAUAUAGGUUGUCAAAACAUAAACGGUGCCUCUUUCCCAUUGUUGCAAGGCAGACAAUGUGCUACAAGCCCAGUUUUAUCAAAAGUAGCUGUCUUUCAAGCUACAGGAAUAACAUUGGUGUCUAUGGAGUGAACAGGGUCCGUCUGCAAUUUGCAAAACCUCUGCAACAGUAAAGAGAGACAAAUAUUCAAUAACUUCACUCUUAUACAUUGUAGUGUCACUAAAAUCACCGCAGCCUUCAACUGGUUCCUGUUGACAAAGUGUUUUAACAGAAAUGUAAAUGCUUUAAUUUGAUUCUUUUAAUGAACCAUGUAACUUGAAUGGAUGUGAUGCUGGUGUGACCACAGUGCACACGUCUGAUGUUGCUCACAGUGGUCCAAGGGACGCUCAGGGAGUUUGUGUGUUUGUUCAGACUCAGGAAAAAUUACAGGGAACAUUGCAUCCACAGCUGUCUGAAAAUGUUUCUUAGAUGGCAAAUGGUGCAGUUGUGGACAAUAAAGUGCGUGACUCGAACUCUAACUGACAUCUAGUAGCCAACAGCCCAUUUUCAUAUUUCUCUUGUCACCUGUAACAUCGUGUCGUUUGAAUAAAGUUGCAUUUUAAAGCGACUUUUUAUAGUCACUGUUCAAAGGAGAGUCUGUUCUGGUCACAGUAUCUGAUCAACGUCCUUUAAAGCCACAACUGACCAGUGUGUAGAUUAACUCAGUGGCUGAGAAUCUGUCACCAAGUUAAAUGAAGCCAACAAAACUUGGUGGCUUCAUUUAACCUGCUUCUAAACCUAAUGAAAGUAAUGAGUCAGAUAACAAGACUAUGUGCAUGCUGCAGUUAGAUAUUUGCACAGUUUAUGAUCACAAUAUGGCCAAGUGCAACAUCCAGAUCACAAGAGCUGUAAAUGAACCUAAACGAUCAUUGCAAUAAUAUCAAUAAUUUUUGCAGUAUUACUUUUUUUAUCAAUAAUUUGUGCAAUAUCAGGUUCAGUAUCAUGGGCAAUGCUUCAUUUUCAUGUGCAAUAUUUUGCUUUCAUGCACAAAUGUCAAUAUAAUGUGCAAUAUUUCAUAUUCAGGUGCAUAUCACUUUACUCCCUCAGUAUCAUUGCCAGUAUUACUUCUUACUUUUUCAUUUUAGUCUUAUUUUAGUUGACUUAUUUUAUGUCAGUAAUGUAUCAUGCUUUAUCUUGUUGCUUUUCUACUGGAUUCUGCGGUCUCGUGCUAUGUAAUUGUGUAUUUUUUAGCAAUAUCUGGCACAGAGAAUUUCCAUUUAUAAGGUUCCAUCUUUCUAAAUAAAGCAUGCAAGUCAUCCUCUACAGGUGUAAAGAAGCACCUAUGCUUGGUAGAGACAUCAUCAUUUUUAUAUUUUUCGAAAAAAGUCACAUUCCCACUGAAAUCAAGACCCAAAUCACUCACAUGAAGACUCACAUCUUCAGUCAAAAGAGUCACAAUGCAAUUUUAUUCACAUCUCCUUCGGCCCUGGAUGAUGUAUGUUCACAGAAGGUCUCCUCAGGUCUUCAGUCCCACCCAGAGGUGCUCUAAUGCUGCCUAUUUUUCAUCCUCAGUCCUGCAGAGCUGGAAGCUCUGCUGCUUUUCCGUUCUACCUGCCGGUUAAAUGCUGGUAAUUACAUUCACUUAGCAUCCCGGUUGUAAAUCAGCUCCUGAUUAGAUGGCGAGAAUGAAAAUCAACAGGGCUCUCUCCAGCUUCAUCCAAAUUGCCUAAAAUCAAUGCCCUCUCUUUCUUUUCUUCCUUGUCUAACCGCUUUUCCAUGAACACAAUGAGCGAUGUGACGUGGUCAAGCUAAGAAACAAUUCUAUGAAGUCAGGAGCAGACAGAACUCAGGCCUCUCCUUCACAGGGGGAACAACAAGGAGGGAAACAAGAGUCAAACGAAUUCUAUUUCCUGGAUGUUUUAGUUUAGAUAAUUUGACUUUAUCUUGGCUGAGACAGGAAACUUGUGGGGCAAUUAACUCAGAGGGGAACCUUCUAAUCCACAGCUUUCCAUAUCUGCACAACCUGCUAAAACUUUCAAUUUGCUGCCUAACAGGGUUCUUCUCACCUGAUGGAUUAUCAGCCUGUCAGCGACACAUUAUAGAAUAAAUUAACCCAUUGGUUUACUGUUAUAAAGCUCAUUACAGCCUCUAUUGUACUGUUGGUAACACUGAUACAGAUGUUUGCUCGAUCAGCUCUCCUCUCAGGAUGUUUUCAGUGUGUAUAGUUUUGUCGACUUAGAGCUCUCCUAGGCGAUAUAACACUUUUUAUUUCCUAAAAUGUUCUUUAUUUGCAAUAAUAAUAACUGUUGUAGCUCAUUAAAGAGCAGUUUUGUGCAGGUCAGCAGAGUCCUAGAUUCACUGCUUCUGGUGCCUUUUAAAAUUCAAACAACGUGUUCUUCUUCUAAAAUAUUCAGAGUCUCUGUAGUGUUUUUGUGUUUUCCUCAUGUUUCAUUAAAAUUUGAGUGUUUGAGUUCAACGGCAAAGAUAUUUGAAGGCAAAACGUUUCAAUUUGUGGAUGCAAAAAUGACCAGAAGUUGAGUUGUAUAGUUGAUAUUAUUACUCGGCCCAUUGAAUAUAAACUAUCACACCAAUCUACACAUUAGCAGGAGCCAAAUAAUCAUUCAGUGAUCAUAGAAUUUAGCAGUUUCCUUUUUUUCCCCAAUAAAAACCAGGUUUAUUGUCACUCAGAUGUAAAGGUUGCUGUUGUAUGUUAUUUAUUUCAAGGGACUUUUGUUACCUAAUGCCACAUUUAUUUAGUAUUUCAGAAUUUAUUUAAUUGUCACAUUUACUUUAUUAUUUCAUAGGGAUGUUUGUUUAUUUAAGAAUGAAAUGACAUUCAAUAAUGUUCAAACUCUAAGAAACACAGAUUUAUUCAAUGCAUUUCAUUUUGGUUGCCAUAUCCAUGACAGAGAAACACAGUAAACACUGCAUUAUACAACUCACUUAUUUGCAACUUGUUAUUGUUAUUUUAAUGUAAUUAUUUUAUUUUUUCUUUCUUUCUUUUGUUUUUUGUAUGUUUGUUGUCACUAUAGUUUGACUAUAGCUACAGUAGCUGUGUGGGAAAUCGAAACAUCUCAUAAGAAUAAUAAUGUAAAUAUAUGUGACUAAACUAAUGGAACACAAUGUAAUGCUUUAUCUUGUCUGUGAGUAUAAUUUCUGCUUCAGAUUUCCAUCAGUAACAGUCAUGAAGACAACAACUCCUGUUAAAGAAGCAAAAGUAACUAAAGUAAUAUUUAAACAAAUGUAAGAAGAGCAAAAUAGAUUUCCAAGAACCUGUGAAAAGGUUCUCAGUAAUUGAGAUACUGCAUUGAAUUAAAAAAAAAAAAAAAAAAAAAAACAACUGGAACCUGUUUAGAAAAUAAAUCUAUCAGUGUUUUUUGUAAAUGUGUGUGCUGAAGUUUGUUUCAUCUUUCACAGGUUGUUUUGUAUUUUCUUACCUGGAGUGCUGUACAUUCUGCAGGGCGAUGCUCCUCUCAUCACUUUCUAGUGUGACAAAAAUAUGUAAG
This is an RNA transcript of Amphiprion ocellaris (clown anemonefish), 7015 nucleotides long. RefSeq lists it as uncharacterized. Lineage: Eukaryota; Metazoa; Chordata; Actinopteri; Pomacentridae. The record is from RefSeq and is a predicted model, not a curated record. The transcript has 8 exons.